UACGUAGGGGGCAAGCGUUGUCCGGAUUUAUUGGGCGUAAAGAGCGUGUAGGCGGUUUGGUAGGUCCGCUGUGAAAACUCGAGCUCAACCUCGAGACGCCGGUGGAAACCAUCAGACUAGAGUCCGGAAGAGGAGAGUGGAAUUCCUGGAUGUAGCGGUGAAAUGCGUAGAGAUCGGAAAGAACACCAACGGCGAAAGCACUCUGCUGGGCCGACACUGACACUGAGAGACGAAAGCUAGGGAGCGAAUGGG
Molecule: ribosomal RNA, 252 nt
Filed under: uncultured bacterium
Lineage: Bacteria
Description: partial 16S ribosomal RNA
Rfam family: Bacterial small subunit ribosomal RNA
Source: RNAcentral